RNAcentral lists this transfer RNA (67 nucleotides) under Marmota monax (woodchuck). RNAcentral describes it as "tRNA.Ala". Lineage: Eukaryota; Metazoa; Chordata; Mammalia; Rodentia; Sciuridae. The record is from RNAcentral.
GGUUGUAGCUCAGUGGAAAAGCCUUUGCCUAGCAUGUGUGAGGCACUGGGUUCGAUUCUCAGCACCA